This 838-nucleotide ribosomal RNA is filed under the name uncultured bacterium. Its description in RNAcentral is "bacterial SSU rRNA". It matches the Rfam family "Bacterial small subunit ribosomal RNA", at positions 8 to 847 of the family's 1533-position model. The record is from RNAcentral.
AGAGUUUGAUCCUGGCUCAGAGCGAACGCUGGCGGCGUGCUUAACACAUGCAAGUCGAGUGCGCAGUUCCUGUAGCAAUACAGGGGCGGGCGCACGGCGCACGGGUGAGUAACACGUGGGCAAUCUGCCCUCGGAUGGGGGAUAACCCCGCGAAAGCGGGGCUAAUACCGCAUGACAUUCCGGAGACCCCGGUCUCUGGAUUCAAAGCCGUAAGGCGUCUGAGGAGGAGCCCGCGCCCGAUUAGCUUGUUGGUGAGGUAACGGCUCACCAAGGCUUUGAUCGGUAGCCGGUCUGAGAGGAUGGCCGGCCACACUGGAACUGAGACACGGUCCAGACUCCUACGGGAGGCAGCAGUGGGGAAUCUUGCGCAAUGGGCGAAAGCCUGACGCAGCGACGCCGCGUGGGGGAUGAAGCUUCUCGGAGUGUAAACCCCUUUCGACCCGGACGAAUGGCCCGCAAGGGACGUGACGGUACGGGUAGAAGAAGCCCCGGCUAACUACGUGCCAGCAGCCGCGGUAAUACGUAGGGGGCCAGCGUUGCUCGGAAUUACUGGGCGUAAAGGGUUCGUAGGCGGUGCGGCAAGUUGGGAGUGAAAUCUCUGGGCUUAACCCAGAGGCUGCUUUCAAAACUGCCGUGCUCGAGUGCGGGAGAGGCGAGUGGAAUUGCAGGUGUAGCGGGUGAAAUGCGUAGAGAUCUGCAGGAACACCCGUGGCGAAGGCGGCUCGCUGGACCGCAACUGACGCUGAGGAACGAAAGCUAGGGGAGCAAACAGGAUUAGAUACCCUGGGUAGUCCUAGCCCUAAACCAUUCAGGACUUGGGUGCUUCCCGUAGUCGGUC